Long non-coding RNA from Solanum dulcamara, 2871 nucleotides. RefSeq lists it as uncharacterized. The record is from RefSeq and is a predicted model, not a curated record. NCBI's taxonomy places the organism in Eukaryota, Viridiplantae, Streptophyta, Magnoliopsida, Solanales, Solanaceae. The transcript is spliced from 2 exons.
UAUCCCUAUGAGCUUCCUAACCCCUUUUUUCCAAUCUUCAUCUUCUCUUACUCUUUCACAAAAUAAAAAAAUAAAAUAAAAACUACAAAUCUUUUGGAUCUAUGCAGUAUGGUUAAUUUCCUUUAUAUUGCAUAUUAUUUUCUGGUUUUUUAGCUAUUUUUUCUAUAUGUAUUGCUUGUGAUCUUGAAAUAUAUGUUUUUAUGAGUUUUUGUUUUUGUUAAUGUUUUUAUUUAUGUUUUAUUAGUCAAUUUCUUAGUGUAUUGAUUUAGCUUGUUUCUUCAAUAGUUAUUUCAUAUUUUUUAGCUAUAUUUUUCUAUAUUUAUUUGCUAAUAAUCGUGGAAAAUAUAUGUUUCUAUGAGUUUUUAUUAUUUAUUUAUAUAUAUAUAUAUAUGACAAUUUCUUAUUGAUUUAGCUUGUUUCUUCAAUAGAAAGAUUGUGGUCAACUUAUGAUGGAAUUUGUGAACAAAUCCAAUCUACAAAGGAAGAUUUUUAUUUUUAUUUUUUUGUUUUGCAGUCUUUAAUAGUGUAGAUUCUUCUUAAUUUAGAUCUUUACUAUUGUUACUAAGAAUAUGUAUGUACUUGGAUUUUGCUCCCUAUAAAUAGAUCUAUCCUAUGUGAAAUUGUGAAGCAUUUAUUUAGGGUUUUAUGGUCCGUUUUGUAGACGUUCAAUAAAAUUGAAAUGAUAUAGAGAAAAUAGGGUUUCUGGAUUUGAAUCGGGCUUAUCGAUCGAUCAAACAAUCAACAAACAGUUGUUGUUUGCAGAUGUAGCAUCAUCAAGAUUCAUACAUGAAAAUUAAGAGGCAAGGUUAUGUAGCUUUGAUUGAAAUGAAAAAAUAGACUAUAUCAUGGCCAUGUCUAUUUUUUUUUUAAGGUAAGAAUCUUGAUGAUGCUGCAUCAGCAAUAAACAACUAUCAAUGACAUUAGAAUUUUUAAAAUUUCUAACAUCCAAUAGUGUUUUGUAUAUGGAAGGGUUCCAAUGAAUCUACCUCCUCUAGCUCCGCUCAAACCAAUUACGAGCUGUGGAGGCAGAAUUUUCAAGGAAUUCAAUAUCUACUAUAUAUAUAACGAUAUUUGUUGAGUAUAGAUGCUUAGUUCUUUGUACCUGGAGAAACAUGAUGAAAUGGAUUUAAUUUUCAUUUAUUUUAUUUUACUGUAUUUUUCAGUACUUUAUCAAUAUUCUUGUCAGUUAUAUAUCUAUUUUUAUAUGUACUGGUUUUAAUUUUAUUUACCAUCUAUUAUUUUUUAAAAAAAUAAAAUAAAUCUAACAGGUGAAAAAUAGAUUCUUUCGUAUAUUUUGAGACUGCAGAUCUGUGGCCAGUACUGAAGUUCUGAUAGAUCAGAAGUUGUAAUUUCUCUAUCUCACACAGAUUCGGUACGAAAAAUAUAUUUACAUAAUCAGAUCGAUUAUAAGGUAUGUAAUUAUACUAAAUUUUGCUGCAAGCGCUCAUCAAUUGAUUACCUAGCUAUUAUUUGGAGUUUAUAUGUAUAAAAUUGAAGAUUUUGUGUCUGAAUUCACGAACAACUAGUUUGGUCGUUAUACUUCAAAUCAAGCCAAUAUAAAUUAAACAAGGCGUGUAACAUGUUAAAAUACAUUAAUCAUAGUAUGUAUAAUCAAUGGUUUAUACUGUCAGUAUAUAUAACUUAUAUCCAUAUAACUAUGUAUUACCAUCAAAAUGUCCUUUUUGAACCUAAGGAACUAGAAGAAGAGUGUGAAGAAGAGGUUAGUUUGAGUUGCCAAGUUUCUUUGUUUUUUUUCAAAGGCAAUAUGAAAAGAAACAAAAAAAAAAAGAUUCAAAAUAUAAUUUUAAGUAUUUCAUGGGAAAAUGAAAAAUCAUCCAAGUGAUGUUUUUGUUUGUUGAAUCAAUGAAACAUUUUAUAUGGGAACUUGCUGCUUCAUGGACUUUUGUGACUUUGAGUGUGUGCAAAAUCAUGAGUUUAGUGCAUGUCAAUUGUUAUUAUUAGGUUGGAUUUUGCCUCAAGAGUUUUUAUCAACGAUAAGAGCGGAGUCUUGGAGGAACUGAAAAAAUUAUUUCAAUAUAGCUUAUAAGUCACGACUUCUAGCUGGGAAUUCAGCAACAAAUACUUGGGUCAGGAGCAAAUGCAAUACAUGAUCCAGGCAACUUGCUAGAAAAUGACCAAGCAUGUUGCUACUAUACGAGAUGAGUAUGGAGAUGUCAGAGUGAUGGUAUGAGGCUUGAUUUAAUUUACUACCUUCACCAUUACUAAAGGUAGUAUCGACGUAUGCACACAUGUGCACGAGAAGAAGCUAACUCGGGGCUUUGGUGUCCAUAUAUACUCGAUCGUGUGAGCGAUACACAAUGAAUAUCAAAAAUUGAUAUAUCAGUACAUGGUAAUAGGUCCCGUGGAAUUUAAUUCAAAAGGGAGACCCGUUGAUCGUGGUGAAGGGUCAUGUGGAUUAACUUAAUGUGAUAGAUUAUUGAGUGCGUGAACAAAGUUCACAAUAGUAGUUGAAAAGAUUGAGAUGUUAUAUAAGUAUGAAGUAUAAUAAUACUCCUACAUGUAAUUCGCUCACUUUGGGAAGAGCAGACGAAAAGAGAAGGCAUUUGUCCUAUCUGAUUCUUCCUCUUUUCAAGAAUGAAGAAUUUUCGAUGAUGUGAGAUUUUUUGAAAAAAGAUAUACGAACUCAUCUCAAAGCAGACAAUAUCACGCAAUGACAAGUCAUGUUCUAUUAGAUUUUCAAUCAAAUCUUUUAAUCAUGUCAUUUGUGCAUGAUAUUUUUGCAUAUUAAUUUUCUCUCUAUCGUUCUAAUUUUAUUGGAUGUUCCAAAGGGACCUCAUGUCACUUGUUGACUGAUGUGUAAUUGUCACCUUUCAAUUAAAUCACCCCAAAUGCAUGAAACUUAUUCACUGA